Molecule: long non-coding RNA, 405 nt
Organism: Stegodyphus dumicola
Lineage: Eukaryota; Metazoa; Arthropoda; Arachnida; Araneae; Eresidae
Source: RefSeq, a predicted model, not a curated record
GCAAGAUAUUCCUACGGAUCUAUUUCUUGCAGUCAAAAAAUGAAGUUUCCACGAUGUGCUUUGAGUUUUAUCCUAGCUAUGGCAAUAGCUGCACUGACCAUCCGUUCAGGCUGUGCCUGGUAAAGAUACAGAACCUAUUGUUGAUCUACCACCAGUAGCUGAAGUGUAGAGAAUGAGAUGAUGGACUGGAACGAAUUCUAAUUCCUCUAUAAAUUUUGAAUAUGAAAAAAUACAGGAACGUUCGUUUUCUACGUAUAUAAAAGUUUUACAGAAACUGAUGAAUUAACUAUGCUUUGGAAAUCCUUCAUUACUGUUUUCUUUGGCAAAAUUUAUUUGUAUUUUUCUGUUUGAAAUGUGCUUCAAAGAUAUGCAGAAAUGAAACAUUGUGAAAAUUAUGUAUGAAAA